GUCUGUGGGUCUAUGCGGGGGAGUCUCUUAGGACCACCCAGAUUCUCAUACAUCUGGAUCUUGCUCACUCGUGACAGAGCCUGAUAUUUGCGGUUGCAAUACAUGGAGUGCCACUAGGGCAAUCUACUUAGCAACGCACAGACUUGUGCUAUGAUAGAAAUACCAGUGCUGAAUUUUCCUCAAAUCACUGUGCACCAACCACAAAGCUGUCUGCUAUUUUUGACCGCUUUUAAUUGCUCUGAACACUGGCCGCACCUCUCUUUUUAAAUCAGAAUGGCAGCUACCACACAAGGGGCUACGUGAGCUGUUGUUGCCUUUCACACACUUCAGGGGGCGCAGUGGAGUUUGGCAGAAGUUUAUAAAGGUCAAAAAGAAAAAGGAGACGAAUUCAAACUGCACGACGGCAAACAGAGCUUCCCGAGGAGGAAUCCAUUGCUCAUCCUGAAACCAAGCCCAGGACACUCACUGCUUGCCAGGUAUGGGCCCAGUUACAUUCGAGCUCCUUCAACUCACGCCUGGGAGCAUCAGCGGUAAGUCACUGGUACGCACUGGUUCUUUGAAUACCAAGGAGCAUUUCAUUCUCAGUGGCAGUAGUAGGUUGGGUGCUUGGAGGUCAGAAUCACUGCUGGGUUUUUUUGCUUUGUGUUUUUACAUUUCAUUUACAAACACUUACCUUCUGUAGCUCAGGGCCAGACAACACACCGCCAG
This 708-nucleotide long non-coding RNA is filed under the name Homo sapiens (human). Its description in RNAcentral is "HSALNT0008047". The record is from RNAcentral. Lineage: Eukaryota; Metazoa; Chordata; Mammalia; Primates; Hominidae.